This 689-nucleotide unclassified non-coding RNA is filed under the name Cunninghamella bertholletiae. RNAcentral's name for it is "sequence contains 18S rRNA gene, ITS1, 5.8S rRNA gene, ITS2, 28S rRNA gene". Lineage: Eukaryota; Fungi; Mucoromycota; Mucoromycetes; Mucorales; Cunninghamellaceae. The record is from RNAcentral.
GAUCAUUACAUAUUGGUCAAAGAAUAGUUUGAAAAAGGCUAUUUUUUUUUGACUUAAAAAACUUAUCCACAGUGUGGGAAAUGUCUUCUAACGCUUGUGCCUGGUUCAGUCUAGUGCUGCCACUUGAGUUUAUCCUUAGAUCAAGGGAUCUUUGGGUAGUUGUUCAUUAUUUUCUCUCUCUUUUUAGGGGGGGGGAGAUUAAUGAUGGGCACCUCUUGUAAAGGGGAUAAAAUUACUUUUAUUAUACUAAAUUUUACUGAACUGAUAGACCAUAAAUCUAUGGUUGUUUUUUAUUAUAAUUAAAAAAAAAAAACAACUUUCASCAAKGGAUCUYUYGGCUUUYGWAUCGAURAARAACSCASCAAAUCSCGAUAUGUAAKGKGAUYUGCCUAUAGKGAAUCAUCAAAUYUUUGAACGCAUYUUGCMCCUUAUGGUAUUCCAUAAGGWACGUYUGUUUCAGUACCCCUAAUAAAUYUCUYUYUAUCCUUGAUGAUARAAAAAAAARARAUAAAUUAUUACUGGUCCKGGKGAUUYYUUUUUUUUUUUUAUUAAAAAGAACCACUCUCGGCCUAAAUAUAAGGCUCGACUUUUUUUUACCAGAUCUUGCAUCUAGUAAAAACCUAGUCGGCUUUAAUAGAUUUUUAUUUUCUAUUAAGUUUAUAGCCAUUCUUAUAUUUUUAAAAUCUGGC